UACGUGGAUAUGUGCCUCCUGCUGCAUGGGUGGGGGUUAGGAAAGCUCCGGCGGUUGUGGAUGGACUCGCGGCCUAUCAGCUUGUUGUGGUAGUGGCCUACCAAGGCGGCGACGGGUAGCCGGCCUGAGAGGGUGACCGGCCACAUUGGGACUGAGAUACGGCCCAG
RNAcentral lists this ribosomal RNA (167 nucleotides) under uncultured bacterium. RNAcentral's name for it is "partial 16S ribosomal RNA". It matches the Rfam family "Bacterial small subunit ribosomal RNA", at positions 164 to 334 of the family's 1533-position model. The record is from RNAcentral.